AUGGUAUAGCACGCUGCAACACAGAACCUUUUAAAGGACAAGUCUCCGUGGAUAUCGGAGAUGACAGACUACAUAAGAAGUCGACUGAGAUAGACUAAUGAGCGUCCGACGGAACCAUGUGUGGAAUUUCUGGAUCCCGCAGUGGCGUUUGACAGACGAGCUGAGUGAAUGUUCCAGCAGUGAUGGAGGAACCCCGGUUACUGCUGGAGGUGGAGGAAGGGGGAACGCUGUGCAUUGCAUAUUAAGGCAAUUUGUUGCUCAGACCUUCAGAAAUGACUGGUUUUAAACAAGGAAAUGCACAGAAAUAUUUUGAAUAGGUUCAGUCAUAACCAAGUCGGAUCACUUCAAGAAGGAAUCAUAAAAUCUUGACAAGCUUCGAUUUAAAGCGGAAUAUUUUACACAAUGCCGCAGGCAAUCUCGCCUGUGGCCCUGAAUGAAGACGUGAGCUCUUCUGAAUAUACCGCGAAGGUGCUACUGGAUUUCACUUUGCCUGGCGGCCGCUCCCUGUUAUGGAAUAAUAAUAUCGAAUAAUAGAGUAGUCAUUUUGCUAACACAUAAUAUUCCCAAAGACUUACAAUGCAAUUCCGUGUCAGCCAGGUCCUCGCAUAACAGCAGCCACCAUCCGUCACUCCUCUGUCAUGCGACAGAAAAACGGUUCUCCGCUGCCAUUUUAUGUUUCCAAAAAUUACAGUCACAGCACUUUACCAAGAAAGUGUUUUCUAUAAACUUGUCAAGGUGAGUUCUGACUUCCUGCUACCUCUGACAAGGUCUUCACUCAAUGCAAAUCUCCCCGCUCUGCAUCCUGUCUCUGCAACACUUAUCUGCAUCAAACAUGUCUGCUGACAUCAUUUUCCUAAUUCUAUUAUCUAUCAGCCACAACACGGCUGCCGGGCUCUGCAAGCCACAAGAUAUCAGAGCAGUCCAGGCCAGCCGCCCCUGUUUACAGAUGGAUUUCCCUCAUGGUGUGAUAUUAGAUGACCCCAUUUGAAGUAUAAACAGAGGAUGCGGCCAGACUGCACUCACAGGACUGGAAUAUGGUUUAUUUUGUGUAUCAUCACUAAGUGCUGCUAAUUACAACAGGACUUUCUCUUUCUGCCUUAAAUAUUUUGUCAGCAUUAAAAAAACAAUUUUCGGGGACAUUGAGCACAUACGGGACUGGGAAGGCAGAGGAGCAUGGGGGCUCCUUGGCAUCUGGGGCAAAUGCAUAUACAGUAGUGAUGUCCUCCCCACCCCCACGGUGCAGAAGUAUUCCCUGUGGGGAUGGGUGAGUAAAAAAAAAAAAUCACAACAGGGCAGGACUGUGGAUGUAUAACAGCCCUGUCAUAUUAUUGUGUGCACGUAAAAAUAGGAGGCGUGGUCCUGCCUCACGAGGGCAUACCACAAGUUACUGGGGCCUGGCAUGGCGGCACGUCUCCCUCCAUCUCUCUGCGGUAUGCUGGGCAGCCGAGCAGAGCGUUGGGAGGUGGAGCUGCACAGCCCCUGUCUAUGUGAGCUGGGCUGCUGAGAAGUGUGAUCAGACAGACCCUGAUUUUUCUGUGUGGCAGGACCAGCCCCUCAGGCCGUCGAUUCCUCUGGCAUUUGCCAGAAGUGACUGAUGGGGAGGUCAUCCCUGCAUCAGGGAUAGUGUCUCACUGGGACUUGAAAGGCUCAAUUGGAAAUGUAAUAGUAGGAGCCCCCAAAAUAGUGCAUGUUCAACGGGCAGAAGGGUCAUGGCUAACCUUAUUAGAACAUAGAAGCACGCAGGUAGAGUAGCUUUUAGGUGGAUACUCUGCAUGGCUGUCAAAUUUUUCCCUGGGGCAAACACACAGCACUGGACAUGACUGGUGGCCCUUCCCGGACUAUGCA
This is a long non-coding RNA of Pseudophryne corroboree (corroboree frog), 1845 nucleotides long. RefSeq lists it as uncharacterized. Lineage: Eukaryota; Metazoa; Chordata; Amphibia; Anura; Myobatrachidae. The transcript has 3 exons. The record is from RefSeq and is a predicted model, not a curated record.